RNAcentral lists this unclassified non-coding RNA (339 nucleotides) under soil metagenome. RNAcentral describes it as "partial contains 5.8S ribosomal RNA, internal transcribed spacer 2, and large subunit ribosomal RNA". The stretch from base 1 to 120 matches the Rfam family "5.8S ribosomal RNA", at positions 35 to 154 of the family's 154-position model. The record is from RNAcentral.
GAUGAAGAACGUAGCGAAAUGCGAUAAGUAGUGUGAAUUGCAGAAUUCAGUGAAUCAUCGAAUCUUUGAACGCACAUUGCGCCCCCUGGUAUUCCGGGGGGCAUGCCUGUCCGAGCGUCAUUGCAACCCUCAAGCGCGGCUUGUGUGUUGGGCUUCGUCCCCCCGUGGACGUGCCCGAAAGGCAGUGGCGGCGUCCCGAAUGGUGCCCGAGCGUAUGGGAACUCUCUUCCGCUCGAACCGGCCCAUUCGGCGCUGGUCGAACCCCAAUUUUUUUUUACCGGUUGACCUCGGAUCAGGUAGGGAUACCCGCUGAACUUAAGCAUAUCAAUAAGCGGAGGA